CAGCCAAGCAAGUGCGCUGCUAGGCGGCCCGCGGACGCGCACGAGCUGCAUAUAGAAAUAUCAUUUACUCGAAAACGAUUUGGUUAUGUAUCGGUGUUUAAUUGUGGGUGGUUUUAGUGACCGUUGACUAUUGCACAUAGCAAUAUGUUUGCAACAAUAGUGAAAUUUCCCCGCCUAAAAAAAAUAAAUUAAAGUAAGGUAAAUUCAAGGGUAAACUAAGAGCACGUUAGAAGUACAUACCGCUUGGUGAAGUCACAGUACCCCAUAUACCUUUUCUGCGCUUUUUGUAAAUUUAUGAUUACUUUGUACAUAUGACGUGACAUAUUAUACCCUUAACUUCAA
Photinus pyralis (common eastern firefly) is the source of this 342-nucleotide long non-coding RNA. RefSeq lists it as uncharacterized. The record is from RefSeq and is a predicted model, not a curated record. The transcript is spliced from 2 exons. Lineage: Eukaryota; Metazoa; Arthropoda; Insecta; Coleoptera; Lampyridae.